RNAcentral lists this long non-coding RNA (414 nucleotides) under Gossypium barbadense (sea-island cotton). RNAcentral's name for it is "long non-coding RNA (GBAR_LNC013414)". The record is from RNAcentral. Lineage: Eukaryota; Viridiplantae; Streptophyta; Magnoliopsida; Malvales; Malvaceae.
ACCUUCUCUGUUUUACCCUCAUCGAAAUUGACCUCCAGCCUCUCCCUCUUCCUCCCUCCCGAAAUCGCCGAAAUCGACCUCUUAACAUCAACAGAAGCUGUUUCUGCAAAAUCACCUCCACCCUCUCCCUCUCUCUCCCUCCCGAAAUCGCCGCUCCCGUUUCACUCCACCGUCUCAGAUCUCCGACCCAACUGUUUUGGCAAGUUAUUCUUCUCUUUUUUUCAUCUCGGAUUUUUAUUUUCUUCCUCAUGAUUUUCUUUUUUAUCAUUUUAUUUGUUUAUUCCCACUGGUUAUUCCCACCGGCCGAAUGUUGUUUAUUUUUAGAACUGAUUUGCUUGUUCUGUCAACACGCUGCAGAUUUGUGUUCUUCAAAUGCAAAUAAACCCCAAAAAAAACCUUUCCAAUUCAAUCAAG